Molecule: ribosomal RNA, 530 nt
Filed under: uncultured bacterium
Lineage: Bacteria
Description: bacterial SSU rRNA
Rfam family: Bacterial small subunit ribosomal RNA
Source: RNAcentral
CCUUGACAUACUAAGAACUUUCCAGAGAUGGAUUGGUGCCUUCGGGAACUUAGAUACAGGUGCUGCAUGGCUGUCGUCAGCUCGUGUCGUGAGAUGUUGGGUUAAGUCCCGCAACGAGCGCAACCCUUUUCCUUAUUUGCCAGCGGGUCAUGCCGGGAACUUUAAGGAUACUGCCAGUGACAAACUGGAGGAAGGCGGGACGACGUCAAGUCAUCAUGGCCCUUACGGCCAGGGCUACACACGUGCUACAAUGGUCGGUACAAAGGGUUGCUACCUCGCGAGAGGAUGCUAAUCUCAAAAAGCCGAUCGUAGUCCGGAUCGCAGUCUGCAACUCGACUGCGUGAAGUCGGAAUCGCUAGUAAUCGCGGAUCAGAAUGCCGCGGUGAAUACGUUCCCGGGCCUUGUACACACCGCCCGUCACACCAUGGGAGUUUGUUGCACCAGAAGUAGGUAGUCUAACCGCAAGGAGGACGCUUACCACGGUGUGGCCGAUGACUGGGGUGAAGUCGUAACAAGGUAGGCGUAGAUGA